CGGUGUUUUCACUCAAAGGAAAUAGUAAAUCCGAUAUGAUCCGAUGUACUUUGGAUAUACUUGGGGAACACGACAAUAGAGGGCGUGAAAAACAAUUGAAUUAUUCUAUAAAAUCCUGUCUAAUCUGUGAUACCAAUUCCAUGUUUCCGUUACGCGCAAUUAACAAAAUAAAAGAUAUGACAAAAAUAAUGUUGUAUUAUUUUUAACUAGCCUUUUAAAAUGUUAUUAAUUAUAAUUAACAAAAAAAAACAAAUAUUAUCUAAAGUUUUUGUUCUUAAAUUGGUCCGUUUUAAAAUCUGAAGGUGCGAAACUUUUAUGAUAAACUUUAAAAAGAGGCAUGGAACGGAAUGUUUUUUUUUUCAAAGCCGCCAUAACGCCAUUAUUUCAAUUCUUCACUUUCUUGUGAUGUUCGAUGCUUUGCUUUGCUAGAAAGAACUUUAAAAUUAUGAUGUUGAACUAUACAACGACUGUGCUUGCCCUGGACUCCGAUAAAUCUGCUUUUUUGUGAAUAUACCGGCUCUGCUCAACGGAUUUUGAUUUGCUCGUUAGAUUCGUUUGUCGUAACAAUGGUUAUAAGUGCUGUGUGUUGUGUACUUAAUUGCGGUAAAACGCGAUUAGAUAAUAUGAUUCUUCACCAAUGACCCAAUCCAAUUAUUGAGCCUGACUGGUUUCGUACCUGGAUUUAUUCUAAUGGCAGUGAUGUGUUAGCAAUGGAAAACUGUGUCAUACUCACUUUAAGAAAAAAUAUAAUACUUCAAGCGGAAGACUCAGUUUUACCCAUUUCUCUAUUGAGGUCUUGGGGUAUGGAAUUGAUAAGCAAACCAUAUUGCUGCAAUUUCCAAUCAAUGUUCAAGAACCAAUGCAAGAUGAUCAAGUACCCAGAGCCCCUUUGAGGAACAUCACCAAUCAGUACCCACAGGGCGGCUACUAAUCUCAGAUCUCAGCCGUCAGCUUCAGGAAUUGAUAAGCAAGCAAACCGCAUCGCUGCAAUUUGCUAGCAAUAUUCAAGAACCGAUGCAAGAUGAUCAAAUACCCAGAGCCCCUUUGAGGAACAUCACUGAUGUCAGUUCUCAGCCGUCAACUUCAGGUCACGCGCCACGACACACACCCCGAUUUUUAACGGAAGCUAGCAGUUUGGCCAAACAAAUAAAAAAACUUACUGAGACAAAAGAAAAAUAUUCUGUAAGAUUAAAAAAAAGCUUAUGUGUCUAUCCACAAACACAUCUUUUCAAAAGGCUAGGCUAUUAGGAGUUUCAUCGUUGAACAUCUUCUCUUCACCACACCCACACACACUCUCUCUCUCUCUUUUCUUGAUUCUUUGAAAACUAAUAAGAAAGGUCCAUUUUAUUCAUAAGAGUGCAAAGUAAUUUGAUUCAAAUUUUAAAUUGAAGUUCUAAACUGCUGGUAGAAUGUACCUUU
Molecule: long non-coding RNA, 1419 nt
Organism: Leguminivora glycinivorella
Lineage: Eukaryota; Metazoa; Arthropoda; Insecta; Lepidoptera; Tortricidae
Exons: 5
Source: RefSeq, a predicted model, not a curated record